Long non-coding RNA from Pteropus alecto (black flying fox), 537 nucleotides. RefSeq lists it as uncharacterized. Lineage: Eukaryota; Metazoa; Chordata; Mammalia; Chiroptera; Pteropodidae. The transcript has 2 exons. The record is from RefSeq and is a predicted model, not a curated record.
GUUCUCGCGAGCUCUCCGUCUCUGCUGGUGCCGCGAGACUUCUCUGAGUAGAGCGAGAACGGAGUCGUGGAUCCCGGUUGGUGUGGUUGCUGUUUGCACCCGGCAUGCAAGGAGUCGUGGGACCCAGUUCUGAGGAAAAUCAAACCUGGGAGGGUGGUGAACACAUGAAUGAGGGAUGAAAUCAUGUCAGUUUCUCAAUCUUAACUGGGUAAGGCGACUCUUCUUCUCACUUUCUUUCAAUAACCUCAAAACUGGUAAGUACUUGGUAAUUCAAAAAUUGCUUCCAGAAAAAACAAAUUAAAGUAUACUAUUUCUGCACAUACUCUUUAAAUAAGAGUCUAAAUAAGACUGAGUGAAAAAUAGCCAAAGCAAUCAAAAGAGAAAACUAAAGCAAACUUAAAUGUUUGAUUUGAAAUUAUUGCAAAAAAACCCUGAAGAAUUCUAGGCCAUCCUUCUUGAAUAUAGUUAAGGAUGAUCAUUUGCUAUUUUAUAAAUAGGCAUACAGAAAAUUUACAGUAAAGAGAUGUCAAUGUUAAA